GACGAACGCUGGCGGCGUGCUUAACACAUGCCAGUCGAACGGAAAGGCCCUGCUCUUGUGGGGCGCUCGAGUGGCGAACGGGUGAGUAACACGUGUGUAACACGCACUUGACCUUGGGAUAACUUCAGGAAACUGGGGCUAAUAUCGGAUAGGAGCUCCUGCAGCGUGGUGGGGGUUGGAAAGAUUCGGUGGUUGUGGAUGGACUCGCGGCUUAUCGGCUUGUUGGUGGGGUAGUGGCGUACGAAGGCUUUGACGGGUAGCCGGCCUGGGAGGGUGACCGGCCACAUUGGUACUACGAUACGGCGCAGACUCCUACGUGAGGCAGCAGGGGGGAAUAUUGCACAAUGGGCGGAAGCCUGAUGCAGCAACGCCGCGUGCGUGAUGACGGCCUUCGGGUUGUAAACCGCUUUCGCCUGUGACGAAGCGUGAGUGACGGUAAUGGGUAAAGAAGCACCGGCUAACUACGUG
This 468-nucleotide ribosomal RNA is filed under the name uncultured bacterium. RNAcentral describes it as "partial 16S ribosomal RNA". It matches the Rfam family "Bacterial small subunit ribosomal RNA", at positions 28 to 507 of the family's 1533-position model. The record is from RNAcentral.